Molecule: ribosomal RNA, 253 nt
Filed under: uncultured bacterium
Lineage: Bacteria
Description: partial 16S ribosomal RNA
Rfam family: Bacterial small subunit ribosomal RNA
Source: RNAcentral
UACGUAGGGUGCGAGCGUUAAUCGGAAUUACUGGGCGGAAAGCGUGCGCAGGCGGUUUUGUAAGCCAGAUGGGAAAGCCCCGGGCUCAACCUGGGAAUGGCAUUUGGGACUGCAAGGCUGGAGUUUGGCAGAGGAGACUGGAAUUCCCGGUGUAGCAGUGAAAUGCGUAGAUAUCGGGAGGAAUACCGAUGGCGAAGGCAGGUCUCUGGGCUAUAACUGACGCUCAUGCACGAAAGCGUGGGGAGCAAACAGG